GAGAAGAACGUAGCGAAAUGCGAUAAGUAAUGUGAAUUGCAGAAUUCAGUGAAUCAUCGAAUCUUUGAACGCACAUUGCGCCCCUUGGUAUUCCGAGGGGCAUGCCUGUUCGAGCGUCAUUAUAACCCUCAAGCUCAGCUUGGUGUUGGGGCCUGCUGCACUGGCAGCCCUUAAAAUCAGUGGCGGCGCCAUCUGGCUCUAAGCGUAGUAAUUCUUCUCGCUAUGGAGUCCUGGUGGAUGCUUGCCAUCAACCCCCAAUUUUUCUAUGGUUGACCUCGGAUCAGGUAGGGAUACCCGCUGAACUUAAGCAUAUCAAUAAGCGGAGGA
This 327-nucleotide unclassified non-coding RNA is filed under the name soil metagenome. RNAcentral describes it as "partial contains 5.8S ribosomal RNA, internal transcribed spacer 2, and large subunit ribosomal RNA". The stretch from base 3 to 119 matches the Rfam family "5.8S ribosomal RNA", at positions 38 to 154 of the family's 154-position model. The record is from RNAcentral.